GCUGAUAACUUACUUUAAUUUCAUUUAUUGAUAAUAACUUUACACUACAAAUUCAUAGCAAAACACUAUACUUCUUCCCAUAAUACUACCAUAUACCUAAGAUAACUACCAUUCUACCCAAAUUACAAUUCUGCCUGCAACUAAUCAUCAUUUGAAAAAUAUGGUAACAGUAGUAAACACACUACCGCAAACAGUACUCUCUUUUUUAUUCUACUUCUCUGCAUUUUUGUUUCCAUCUUUCUGACCUUCUGCAACAAAGUAGGUAUAAUUUGUUUGGCCCUUUCACAUAUUAAGGGAUCAACCCAUUGGUAAAAGCCACAACCAUUCUGCCAUUAACACACAAAAAAAUAAACAAAGUUAAUCAAAAUUUCUCAUAGUGAUUUUUUCUAAUUUGUUAUUCAUAUAUUUCAACUUACAUGUCACCUAGUAAGAAAUCUUCUUCCUAGAUUCAUAGAACUCCAUGAGGUCCUAUACGCAAAAGGAUUCAUGCAGCCACAAUUUUGUUCUUUC
This 510-nucleotide long non-coding RNA is filed under the name Ricinus communis (castor bean). RNAcentral's name for it is "long non-coding RNA (RCOM_LNC000703)". Lineage: Eukaryota; Viridiplantae; Streptophyta; Magnoliopsida; Malpighiales; Euphorbiaceae. The record is from RNAcentral.